CCUACGGGCGGCAGCAGUGGGGAAUAUUGCACAAUGGGGGAAACCCUGAUGCAGCGACGCCGCGUGAGUGAAGAAGUGUUUCGGUACGUAAAGCUCUGUCAGCAGGGAAGAAAAUGACGGUACCUGAUUAAGAAGCCCCGGCUAACUACGUGCCAGCAGCCGCGGUAAUACGUAGGGGGCAAGCGUUAUCCGGAUUUACUGGGUGUAAAGGGAGCGUAGACGGCAGCACAAGUCUGGAGUGAAAUGCCGGGGCGCAACCCCGGAACUGCUUUGGAAACUGGGCAGCUGGAGUGCAGGAGAGGUAAGUGGAAUUCCUAGUGUAGCGGUGAAAUGCGUAGAUAUUAGGAGGAACACCAGUGGCGAAGGCGGCUUACUGGACUGUAACUGACGUUGAGGCUCGAAAGCGUGGGGAGCAAACAGGAUUAGAUACCCCUGUAGUC
Molecule: ribosomal RNA, 440 nt
Filed under: uncultured bacterium
Lineage: Bacteria
Description: partial 16S ribosomal RNA
Rfam family: Bacterial small subunit ribosomal RNA
Source: RNAcentral